RNAcentral lists this ribosomal RNA (774 nucleotides) under uncultured phototrophic eukaryote. RNAcentral describes it as "bacterial SSU rRNA". It matches the Rfam family "Bacterial small subunit ribosomal RNA", at positions 24 to 832 of the family's 1533-position model. The record is from RNAcentral.
UCAGGAUGAACGCUGGCGGUAUGCCUAACACAUGCAAGUCGUACGAGAGUUUUUAACUCUAGUGGCGGACGGGUGAGUAACACGUGAGAAUUUACCUUUAGGAGGGGGAUAACAAUUGGAAACGAUUGCUAAUACCCCAUAUGCUUUUGAGUGAAAUGGAUUUAUAUUUAUCCGCCUAGAGAGAAGCUCGCGGCUGAUUAGCUUGUUGGUAAGGUAAGAGCUUACCAAGGCGACGAUCAGUAUCUGGUUUGAGAGGACGAUCAGACACACUGGAACUGAGACACGGUCCAGACUCCUACGGGAGGCAGCAGUGGGGAAUUUUCCGCAAUGGGCGAAACCUGACGGAGCAAUACCGCGUGAGGGAAGACUGCCUAUGGGUUGYAAACCUCUUUUUUCAGGGAGGAAUAAAAUGACGUGUACCUGAAGAAUAAGCAUCGGCUAACUCCGUGCCAGCAGCCGCGGUAAGACGGAGGAUGCAAGUGUUAUCCGGAAUCACUGGGCGUAAAGCGUCUGUAGGUGGUUUAAUAAGUCAACUGUUAAAUCUUGAGGCUCAACUUCAAAAUCGCAGUCGAAACUAUUAGACUAGAGUAUAGUAGAGGUAAAGGGAAUUUCCAGUGGAGCGGUGAAAUGCGUAGAUAUUGGAAAGAACACCGAUGGCGAGAGCACUUUACUGGGCUAUUACUAACACUCAGAGACGAAAGCUAGGGUAGCAAAUGGGAUUAGAUACCCCAGUAGUCCUAGCCGUAAACUAUGGAUACUAGAUGUUGAACAGAU